Molecule: non-coding RNA, 66 nt
Organism: Hipposideros armiger (great roundleaf bat)
Lineage: Eukaryota; Metazoa; Chordata; Mammalia; Chiroptera; Hipposideridae
Source: the annotation of a RefSeq genome assembly
CAUUAAGAAGCUAAAGUAGCAUUAACCUUUUAAGUUAAAGACUGAGGACCUACCCCUCCUUAAUGA